UCCUAAGUAGCUCAGCUGGUUAGAGCAUCUGACUGUUAAUCAGAGGGUCCCUGGUUCGAGCCCAGGCUUGGGAGCAA
RNAcentral lists this transfer RNA (77 nucleotides) under Pelobium manganitolerans. RNAcentral describes it as "tRNA-Asn". It matches the Rfam family "tRNA". Rfam says of the family: Transfer RNA (tRNA) molecules are approximately 80 nucleotides in length. Their secondary structure includes four short double-helical elements and three loops (D, anti-codon, and T loops). The record is from RNAcentral. Lineage: Bacteria; Pseudomonadati; Bacteroidota; Sphingobacteriia; Sphingobacteriales; Sphingobacteriaceae. RNAcentral also lists the same sequence under 1 other name.